Molecule: ribosomal RNA, 265 nt
Filed under: uncultured archaeon
Lineage: Archaea
Description: partial 16S ribosomal RNA
Rfam family: Archaeal small subunit ribosomal RNA
Source: RNAcentral
UAGCCGUAAACGAUACUCGCUAGGUGUCGGCCACGGUGCGACCGUUGUCGGUGCCGUAGGGAAGCCGUGAAGCGAGCCACCUGGGAAGUACGGCCGCAAGGCUGAAACUUAAAGGAAAAAAUUGGCGGGGGAGCACCACAACGGGUGGAGCUUGCGGUUUAAUUGGAUUCAAACGCCGGAAAUCUUACCGGACCGACAGCAACAUGAAGGCCAGGCUGAAGACUUUGCCGGAUUAGCUGAGAGGAGGUGCAUGGCGUAGUCGUGU